GAGGACAGUUCCUCUUCUAAUGACCCUGCUUCUUACAAUAGAAGCACUCUGCCUGACUUUUGGAUCCUAGUACUUUGCAUCCUUUUAUUUAUUUUUUUUUCUCUUUCUUAAAGGGAUGACGCCCACCUAAAGAAGAUCCUCCCACUACAUUCACCGUCUCCUUAUGGAGUUGGUGAUCCUUCUCAAAAAUCUAUAACAAUCACAAC
This 206-nucleotide long non-coding RNA is filed under the name Elaeis guineensis (African oil palm). Its description in RNAcentral is "long non-coding RNA (EGUI_LNC064530)". Lineage: Eukaryota; Viridiplantae; Streptophyta; Magnoliopsida; Arecales; Arecaceae. The record is from RNAcentral.